This 1326-nucleotide long non-coding RNA is filed under the name Canis lupus familiaris (dog). RNAcentral describes it as "lncRNA (ENSCAFG00000055487.1)". The record is from RNAcentral. Lineage: Eukaryota; Metazoa; Chordata; Mammalia; Carnivora; Canidae.
UAUUUACCUCCUUUUCUGGUUUCCAUUUUUCUCCAUCAGGUGUUAGGUGCUUGGCACAUAGGAAGCCGCUCACAAAGUGUGGACUUGAACAAGAUCCAUGGAAGAAGUUUAUCUUACCUUUAAUUCCUAUUCAAAUAAUUAAGUUGGAACCUCCUUAUUUUAUUGAAGGCAUAUGACAGACUAAAAAGCAAUAGGUUUAAAAGAAAGAUAAAGAAAGUUUGCCGACAUACGGUGUAACACCCAGCGACGUGUGCCCCAGGUCUUCUCUGGCCGCUCAACUAACGGGCCGGGCGCACAGCCCCGUACCUGGCGUACCUGGCGGCCGGGAAGGCGUGCAGGGAAGGAAAGAGCAACAUGACGCUGUCACUGUGCGGCUGACACUAGUGGAGAGGUGUCCCCGCCAAGCCUGGAGCCCAUCCCGCGGGGCUCCCUCUCUCCAGGCGGGCAACGUGGACCGGCUGCGGGGAGUCACCCCCUGGCUGCAGACCGCUGGCACCUUGGAGCUGGAGCUGCUCAGCACCAACAACACAUCUUCAUCCUCCACAAGGGCGAAGGGGAAGCUGGAGGGGGUUGAGGAACAGGAACCUCAGGGCCGCGGCUGACCCCAGGGCCAGGCUGCAGGGGCGAGCAGGGCAGGCUUCCUCCCAAGUCACCGUGCUCGUCCCGGCCGGCGUCACUCCCGGCGCCCUGAAGCCUGGGUUCUAAAUAUAGAUUGUGUAUUUUGUUAAGCUCUUCAGUUUGCUUUCUAACUUCAGUAAAAAGAUGUAAGCGGGAGAAAAAUGAUCUGUCAAAGGAAUUUAAAAGCAAAUGGAUUCAAGUACACAAUGUGGUGUUACCACGGCCUGGGACAAAGGAAGAGUGGCCGCAAGAGGGGAGGCCGAUGGUGGCCAGUGGGCCGCAGAACUGGACUUCAAUUCACCGUAUGAACUGAGCCCACUGCUGCCUAGCAGGAGCGUCCCAUUGACAUGGGGUACGGCUCCCGGUGAGGUAUAGGACAUAAGGGUUGGGGGUGCCUGGCGGGGCUCGGUCAGUCAAGUGUCUGCGGUGGGCCCAGGUCAUGGGAUCGGGCCUCCCCUUGGGCUCCCUGCCCAGCGGGGGGUCUGCUUUUCCCUCUCCCUCUGAGCCUCCUCCCUCGCCGCUUGUGCUUUCUCUCUCUCUCUCUCCCUCUGUCUCAAAUAAAUAAAUAAAGCCUUAAAAAAAUAAGAUAAAAGUUAAAGUUGGCACCGGGAAUUUUCCUGAAGACUGUCACUUGUGUUUGUCUACGGACAGAUGUGUUUUAUGUUUGGACUCUGGGCGCUCCGAGGCCAGCAAGCUGCUGGGGCCCUG